AUUUAUAGUUUUGUAAUUGGAAUGAGUUAAGUAUAAACCCCUUUACAAGUAUCAAUUGGAGGGCAAGUCUGGUGCCAGCAGCCGCGGUAAUUCCAGCUCCAAUAGCGUAUAUUAAAGUUGUUGCAGUUAAAAAGCUCGUAGUUGGAUUUCUGUUAAUUUUCUAUAUAUAAUAUUUUUAAUAUUUAUAUAGUAUUAACAUAAUUCAUAUUACUUAUUUUAAGUAUAUGAAAUUUUACUU
Molecule: ribosomal RNA, 238 nt
Filed under: Cryptosporidium macropodum
Lineage: Eukaryota; Apicomplexa; Conoidasida; Eucoccidiorida; Cryptosporidiidae
Description: partial small subunit ribosomal RNA
Rfam family: Eukaryotic small subunit ribosomal RNA
Source: RNAcentral